UGGCCUGUAUAGUAUCAGUUAGUUGGUGAGGUAAUGGCUCACCAAGACAAUGACGCUUAACUGGUUUGAGAGGAUGAUCAGUCACACUGGAACUGAGACACGGUCCAGACUCCUACGGGAGGCAGCAGUGGGGAAUAUUGCACAAUGGGGGAAACCCUGAUGCAGCAACGCCGCGUGGAGGAUGACACAUUUCGGUGCGUAAACUCCUUUUAUAAUAGAAGUGACGGUAUAUUAUGAAUAAGCUCCGGCUAACUCCGUGCCAGCAGCCGCGGUAAUACGGGGGGGGCAAGCGUUACUCGGAAUCACUGGGCGUAAAGAGCAUGUAGGCCGAUAGAUAAGUUGGAAGUGAAAUCCUAUGGCUUAACCAUAGAACUGCUUCCAAAACUGUCUAUCUAGAAUAUGGGAGAGGUAGAUUUUCUGGUGUAGGGGUAAAAUCCGUAGAG
This 443-nucleotide ribosomal RNA is filed under the name uncultured bacterium. Its description in RNAcentral is "bacterial SSU rRNA". It matches the Rfam family "Bacterial small subunit ribosomal RNA", at positions 227 to 695 of the family's 1533-position model. The record is from RNAcentral.